UACGGAGGGUGCGAGCGUUAAUCGGAAUUACUGGGCGUAAAGCGCACGCAGGCGGUUUGUUAAGCUAGAUGUGAAAGCCCCGGGCUCAGCCUGGGAUGGUCAUUUAGAACUGGCAGACUAGAGUCUUGGAGAGGGGAGUGGAAUUCCAGGUGUAGCGGUGAAAUGCGUAGAUAUCUGGAGGAACAUCAGUGGCGAAGGCGACUCCCUGGCCAAAGACUGACGCUCAUGUGCGAAAGUGUGGG
RNAcentral lists this ribosomal RNA (242 nucleotides) under uncultured bacterium. Its description in RNAcentral is "partial 16S ribosomal RNA". It matches the Rfam family "Bacterial small subunit ribosomal RNA", at positions 524 to 765 of the family's 1533-position model. The record is from RNAcentral.